This 252-nucleotide ribosomal RNA is filed under the name uncultured bacterium. RNAcentral's name for it is "partial 16S ribosomal RNA". It matches the Rfam family "Bacterial small subunit ribosomal RNA", at positions 524 to 776 of the family's 1533-position model. The record is from RNAcentral.
UACGUAGGUCCCGAGCGCUGUCCGGAUUUAUUGGGCGUAAAGCGAGCGCAGGUGGUUUAUUAAGUCUGGUGUAAAAGGCAGUGGCUCAACCAUUGUAUGUAUUGGAAACUGGUAGACUUGAGUGCAGGAGAGGAGAGUGGAAUUCCAUGUGUAGCGGUGAAAUGCGUAGAUAUAUGGAGGAACACCGGUGGCGAAAGCGGCUCUCUGGCCUGUAACUGACACUGAGGCUCGAAAGCGUGGGGAGCAAACAGG